This 427-nucleotide ribosomal RNA is filed under the name uncultured Ramlibacter sp. RNAcentral's name for it is "bacterial SSU rRNA". It matches the Rfam family "Bacterial small subunit ribosomal RNA", at positions 355 to 774 of the family's 1533-position model. Lineage: Bacteria; Pseudomonadati; Pseudomonadota; Betaproteobacteria; Burkholderiales; Comamonadaceae. The record is from RNAcentral.
UGGGGAAUUUUGGACAAUGGGCGCAAGCCUGAUCCAGCCAUUCCGCGUGCAGGAUGAAGGCCCUCGGGUUGUAAACUGCUUUUGGACGGAACGAAAAGGCCUUUUCUAAUACAGAGGGCUCAUGACGGUACCGUCAGAAUAAGCACCGGCUAACUACGUGCCAGCAGCCGCGGUAAUACGUAGGGUGCGAGCGUUAAUCGGAAUUACUGGGCGUAAAGCGUGCGCAGGCGGUGAUGUAAGACAGGUGUGAAAUCCCCGGGCUUAACCUGGGAACUGCAUUUGUGACUGCAUCGCUGGAGUGCGGCAGAGGGGGAUGGAAUUCCGCGUGUAGCAGUGAAAUGCGUAGAUAUGCGGAGGAACACCGAUGGCGAAGGCAAUCCCCUGGGCCUGCACUGACGCUCAUGCACGAAAGCGUGGGGAGCAAACA